UACUCGUGUUUGUCAAUACCCAAUUGUAUAUUCUACAUCAGGGGUGGCCAACAGGUCGAUCGCGAUCGACCUGUCGAUCCCGAGAGCAUUUUUGACCGAUCGCGGACCAGAAAUUAAGAAAAAACUUCAAAGUUUUUGGUACUAUGUAGUAUGUGUACACAUAAAUAUUUUGUAUAAAAGGUCGAUCGCGACGAACUUUUAGAAAAAAAGUCGAUCGCGAAUACAUAUAAGUUGGCCACCCCUGUUCUACAUGUUCUUAUAAUAUUACGAUGGUCCUAUUUACUCGCAUGCAGUCGGUCUGUGUGCUGUCGGUCUGUCUGUCUGUUAAAUCAACGACAUCGUUUGAAAUUCUAAAGUGUACAAAUUUUUCCUGUUUGUGUUUGUACCUGGGUUUUAUUGGACCAUGUAGCGAAGUAACUGCUGUCCGGGCCACUUCGCUACAAUCCGACUAACGCAAGAUCGACAUUAAUUUUAAUAUCGAUCUUAUAUAUAUUAAAUAAAAAACUCAAAUAUUGUGCAAAAUCGAUAUUAAUUUUCUAUGCCGAUGAAAUAAAAUACUCGAAUGUUCUUUUUUCUUAUCAAAAUGAUUCAUUAAAGAGUAGGUGUAGUGGUCGCGAGUGCGGCUGGUGAGAACGAUGUCACAGAUUUCCUUAAUUUUAGGUUGUUACUGUUGUUACCGAGGAAUUACGAUGACCCUAGAAAACAAGACAUCACUAAAAUGUCCACGGGGAGUGUAGUUAGGAGUUAGGACUAGCAGUAUUGCCACUUGGAAUGGCAACGCUUAGCCUAACCUCUGUUCUAGCAACAGACCAGCUCUGUGGUCUCGAGAAACAUUGAUCAGGCAGGCGAGAGUCGACAAAAUGUUUCACAAAAUGUCUGAACAACAGAAUCCACGUUGUGCUCGGUGGUGCUCGGUGCUUCUCUGUGUGAGGAGAGGCCAGUGUCGCGUGUGGCAGUUACAGCUCGGUUGCUGGUUUAUACGUACUUCUUAUCUGCUUUCCAUUACUAUCAGGUCUUAAACAUUGAUAAAACAUUUGGUCGACGCGGUGUUGUGUAAACUCAAGUUUCUUACGGGAAGCCAACAUCGUCGUAUGAACAAAUUCUGCGCCGACACACGAGCGUUUUAUCGCGACCGAUAACCGCGGCCGCGUGGCGACGACGAGGCUCGCACUGUGAUGACUCGUUAAUCAGAAAUGCCUUGGUACGAUGUGUUGUGGACGACGAGUAGAGUGCGCGGCGCGGCACUGCCGCCGCUACCACCGCGCCGCGCGCUGCACCGUUUAUCACGAUCGACACACCGCGUGCGCGGGACGACGAAAUCAUGAAACUGUUCUGGUUUAGGAUGGUACAUGUUUUACAAAAUUAUUGUUUUCAUAAAAAUAAAUUCAACGCUUUAAAACUUCUUACAUUGUUUUUAUUACCUAGUAUUAAUUUAAUUUUGUAUGACUUGUCUCGAUGAGAACCAUCAUCGUCAGCUGCGACCGUUGUUGUCCAAACUCAAAACUGUAUCCACUUUGGUUGAUGCUGAAUGCAGAAACCUGUGCCGACACAUGUACUCGUUCGUAUGCGGCGCAAGUUAUCAAUUUUGGUCUGCACGUCAAGAUUAUGUUCGCUAAACGUUUUAAGUUCACAUAAGACAUGUCCAAGUCGCCAAUAUUUUGAUCGACGACCACCCCGGCAUAAUAUUGGCCGGACCACUUCGAUGAAUCUAUCGCCACUUGUUUUUGUUUUUUUUUGUAUCGUAUCAAUGGUAAUUAGGGUAAUAUUGAUAAUUUCAGAUAGCGAGAUAAGUGCGAAAGUGUUAUCACAAGCACGUUGCAUGUCGCAGCCUUUGAAUGAAUACAUUUGGUAGCUUGAAACCUUGAUAAAACAUUUUAGGUAUAUGGUACAUGGCGCAGCACGCUCGCUCAUGAAUCUUUAUCGUUACGUCGUUUUCGGUUUCUUUCUUCACAUUACGUUGUUUGUGCUGGAUGCUCCUUAUUGCACAUACUGAAGUACGACAUUACAUACAGGUACAUUAAGUUGAGCAUCGUUCGACGUUGAAGUUGACGAGGAGUUCGUGAAAAUUCAUUGUCACAGUGAGGAUGAUGAGAUCCCCGACAAUGUACCCCCCAACUAUGUGUGCAUCUAUCGUUUCAUCCAUCAAAUUGUUACAUAUUGCGUUAAACUCAUUAUGCAAUAGGAACCCUAAUGAUGGCCGCUUUGGUCGACGCGACCGCUGUUGUCCAAACUUAAGUUUCUUACGGGAAGCCAACAUCGUCGUAUAAACAAAAUCUGCGCCGACACACGGGCGCGCCGCAAGUUAGUUUUAUAGAGCUCGCAAACUUAUGAUGAGUAACGUGAUACAUAGAAGCGUUCCGUUCGCAUCUGUCGCGGUUGAUGAGCUGACCGUAAGUGAGCGGCGCGCGUAGCACCGUCUUAUCGCGACCGAUAACCGCGGCCGCGUCUCGACGACGAGGCUCGCACUGUGAUGACUCGUUAAUCAGAAAUGCCUUGGUACGAUGUGUUGUGGACGACGAGUAGAGUGCGCGGCGCGGCACUGCCGCCGCUACCACCGCGCCGCGCGCUGCACCGUUUAUCACGAUCGACACACCGCGUGCGCGGGACGACGAAAUCAUGAAAAUGUUUACAGUUGACUCGAUGGCCGACAUGAUGAUUGGUGUGUAUUGCUGCAAACUGGCGACCAAGUUUAAGUCUACUUGAAGCAGGUUCGAUGUGGUCGCAAAACCAAGCGAUGUCGGUUAUCUUGUUACGUGUUAGUAUAAAAGCUGAUUGCAUCUAUUUCUCUGUUUAGUUAAUUAGAGGUCGUAGAUAAGUUGGUGCAUACUGAGCAAGCAUCUCAAAUCAUGAACGAGGAAGUCUAUUUCGCUGAAGACUACCUGUUGCUUGAUCCAAACUGUGUGAAGCAACACACGCAGCCUUCUCUAAAGACACUGGCGUUAGCGCGGAGAAUGGUCUCGCGCGAGGCGGACACAGCGGUCGACCCGAGCGACUGCCGCGUGGUCCUCAUGCACUGCAACGGGUUGUGUGAUCCACACCGCGUUGAUACAUUCACACCUUGGUGACACUCACCGCGCUCGGCUGACGAUCCUGACGACGAGACAACGUGUGUCGAGGCGUUCAUCGAGUACAGCAUCAUGUUCGGCGGCGACGUGGUCGCAUGUUGUACUAAAUAAAUGUUUAUUACAAAUUACAUAAAAAUAUAUUUGCUCUAAGAUUU
Molecule: long non-coding RNA, 3220 nt
Organism: Spodoptera frugiperda (fall armyworm)
Lineage: Eukaryota; Metazoa; Arthropoda; Insecta; Lepidoptera; Noctuidae
Exons: 2
Source: RefSeq, a predicted model, not a curated record